Molecule: ribosomal RNA, 980 nt
Filed under: Pseudomonas aeruginosa
Lineage: Bacteria; Pseudomonadati; Pseudomonadota; Gammaproteobacteria; Pseudomonadales; Pseudomonadaceae
Description: bacterial SSU rRNA
Rfam family: Bacterial small subunit ribosomal RNA
Source: RNAcentral
ACCAUGCAGUCGAGCGGAUGAAGGGAGCUUGCUCCUGGAUUCAGCGGCGGACGGGUGAGUAAUGCCUAGGAAUCUGCCUGGUAGUGGGGGAUAACGUCCGGAAACGGGCGCUAAUACCGCAUACGUCCUGAGGGAGAAAGUGGGGGAUCUUCGGACCUCACGCUAUCAGAUGAGCCUAGGUCGGAUUAGCUAGUUGGUGGGGUAAAGGCCUACCAAGGCGACGAUCCGUAACUGGUCUGAGAGGAUGAUCAGUCACACUGGAACUGAGACACGGUCCAGACUCCUACGGGAGGCAGCAGUGGGGAAUAUUGGACAAUGGGCGAAAGCCUGAUCCAGCCAUGCGCGUGUGUGAAGAAGGUCUUCGGAUUGUAAAGCACUUUAAGUUGGGAGGAAGGGCAGUAAGUUAAUACCUUGCUGUUUUGACGUUACCAACAGAAUAAGCACCGGCUAACUUCGUGCCAGCAGCCGCGGUAAUACGAAGGGUGCAAGCGUUAAUCGGAAUUACUGGGCGUAAAGCGCGCGUAGGUGGUUCAGCAAGUUGGAUGUGAAAUCCCCGGGCUCAACCUGGGAACUGCAUCCAAAACUACUGAGCUAGAGUACGGUAGAGGGUGGUGGAAUUUCCUGUGUAGCGGUGAAAUGCGUAGAUAUAGGAAGGAACACCAGUGGCGAAGGCGACCACCUGGACUGAUACUGACACUGAGGUGCGAAAGCGUGGGGAGCAAACAGGAUUAGAUACCCUGGUAGUCCACGCCGUAAACGAUGUCGACUAGCCGUUGGGAUCCUUGAGAUCUUAGUGGCGCAGCUAACGCGAUAAGUCGACCGCCUGGGGAGUACGGCCGCAAGGUUAAAACUCAAAUGAAUUGACGGGGGCCCGCACAAGCGGUGGAGCAUGUGGUUUAAUUCNAAGCAACGCGAAGAACCUUACCUGGCCUUGACAUGCUGAGAACUUUCCAGAGAUGGAUUGGUGCCUUCGGACUCAG